This 229-nucleotide ribosomal RNA is filed under the name Bacteroidales bacterium. Its description in RNAcentral is "partial 23S ribosomal RNA". It matches the Rfam family "Bacterial large subunit ribosomal RNA", at positions 2681 to 2925 of the family's 2925-position model. Lineage: Bacteria; Pseudomonadati; Bacteroidota; Bacteroidia; Bacteroidales. The record is from RNAcentral.
GUACGAGAGGACCGGGAUGGACACACCUCUGGUUUACCGGUUGUGGCGCCAGCUGCACCGCCGGGUAUCCACGUGUGGAUCGGAUAAGCGCUGAAAGCAUCUAAGCGCGAAGCCGGCCCCAAGAUUAGAUUUCCCUGAGGACCGUAGAAGACGACUACGUUGAUAGGCUGCAGGUGUAAAGGCAGUGAUGUCAAAGCCGAGCAGUACUAAUAGUCCGAGACUUCGCUAA